RNAcentral lists this long non-coding RNA (325 nucleotides) under Homo sapiens (human). RNAcentral's name for it is "HSALNT0261113". The record is from RNAcentral. Lineage: Eukaryota; Metazoa; Chordata; Mammalia; Primates; Hominidae.
GUGGGUUUUGUUCCAUCCCGGACUUAGAUCUUCCAAGACGGCGAUUUCCUUCUGGUCGGGUCUCUUCCCGAGGAUCCGCUUUACUCGUACUAGAAACUCUGACCUCGAAUGCAGUUCCAGAAGCAGAACCCUGUAGGGGGUUUCAGGCGGCCAAGAAGGGAAGUGGUUCUCCUAAGACCGUCCCGGCUUCAGUCCACGGCGCUCACUAAAUGCCUCCCACGCCAGACGAGGUCCCCCGUCCCCGGAGCUCGCGUCCCAGAGGUCCUGCAUUCUGAUGAAAUGACUAUGCUCACUGAUCUGAGGAAUGCCGUGAGAAACUGACGCA